GUAGGUGGCAAGCGUCGUCCGGAAUUAUUGGGCGUAAAGCGCGCGCAGGCGGUUCUUUAAGUCUGAUGUGAAAGCCCACGGCUCAACCGUGGAGGGUCAUUGGAAACUGGAGAACUUGAGUACAGAAGAGGAAAGCGGAAUUCCACGUGUAGCGGUGAAAUGCGUAGAGAUGUGGAGGAACACCAGUGGCGAAGGCGGCUUUCUGGUCUGUAACUGACGCUGAGGCGCGAAAGCGUGGGGAGCAAACAGGAUUAGAUACCCUGGUAGUCCACGCCGUAAACGAUGAGUGCUAAGUGUUAGGGGGUUUCCGCCCCCCUUAGUGCUGCAGCUAACGCAUUAAGCACUCCGCCUGGGAGUACGGCCGCAAGGCUG
Molecule: ribosomal RNA, 372 nt
Filed under: uncultured organism
Description: partial 16S ribosomal RNA
Rfam family: Bacterial small subunit ribosomal RNA
Source: RNAcentral